Molecule: small nuclear RNA, 100 nt
Filed under: Microtus ochrogaster (prairie vole)
Lineage: Eukaryota; Metazoa; Chordata; Mammalia; Rodentia; Cricetidae
Source: RNAcentral
GUGGAGCAACACAUAUAUUAAAAUUGGAACGAUACAGUGAAAAUUAGCAGGCCCCCUUCACAAUUUUUUCCUGCUCAUUAAAGUUGUAUUCUGUAUAAUU